GAUGAACGCUGGCGGCGUGCCUAAUACAUGCAAGUCGAGCGAACAGACGAGGAGCGUGCUCCUCUGACGUUAGCGACGGGCGGGUGAGUAACACGAGGAUGACCUACCUAUAAGACUGGGAUAGCUUCGGGAAGCCGGAUAUAAUACCGGACAAUAUAUUGAAACGCAGGGAUCAAUAGUGCAAGACGGAUUUGCUGUGACUUAUAGAGGGAUCCGCGCCGCAUGAGCUAGUGGGUAGGGUAACGGCUUACCAAGGCAACGAUGCGUAGCCGGCCUGAGAGGACGAUCGGCCACACUGGGACUGAGACACGGCCCAGACUCCUACGGGAGGCAGCAGUGGGGAAUUUUGGACAAUGGGGGAAAGCCUGAUCCAGCCAUGCCGCGUGCGGGAAGAAGGCCUUCGGGUCGUAAACCGCUUUUGUUCGGGAAGAAAUCCUCUGGGCUAAUACCCCGGGGGGAUGACGGUACCGGAAGAAUAAGCCCCGGCUAACUACGUG
RNAcentral lists this ribosomal RNA (497 nucleotides) under uncultured bacterium. RNAcentral describes it as "partial 16S ribosomal RNA". It matches the Rfam family "Bacterial small subunit ribosomal RNA", at positions 28 to 507 of the family's 1533-position model. The record is from RNAcentral.